AUUGAACGCUGGCGGCAGGCCUAACACAUGCAAGUCGCGCGAGGGGCGGAGGGGUGAGUAAUGUAUGGGGGUCUGCCUGAUGGAGGGGGAUAAGUACUGGAAACGGUAGCUAAUACCGAAUACCAUCAUCUGGACCCAUUUGGGAUUAGCUAGUAGGUGAGGUAACGGCUCACCUAGGCGACGAUCCCUAGCUGGUCUGAGAGGGUGAUCAGCCACACUGGGACUGAGACACGGCCCAGACUCCUACGGGAGGCAGCAGUGGGGAAUAUUGCACAAUGGGCGAAAGCCUGAUGCAGCCAUGCCGCGUGUAUGAAGAAGGCCUUCGGGUUGUAAAGUACUUUCAGUCGGGAGGCGUUACCGACAGAAGAAGCACCGGCUAACUCCGUGCCAGCAGCCGCGGUAAUAC
This 406-nucleotide ribosomal RNA is filed under the name uncultured bacterium. RNAcentral describes it as "partial 16S ribosomal RNA". It matches the Rfam family "Bacterial small subunit ribosomal RNA", at positions 30 to 526 of the family's 1533-position model. The record is from RNAcentral.